Zea mays is the source of this 668-nucleotide long non-coding RNA. RefSeq annotates it as MIR166gHG. Lineage: Eukaryota; Viridiplantae; Streptophyta; Magnoliopsida; Poales; Poaceae. The record is from RefSeq and is marked validated. The transcript is spliced from 2 exons.
AUCUCUCUCUCUCUCUCUCUCCACUACAAACAAUCAAGCUUGUUCUUUGAUCAUCGAUCGCUCAUGUACGGCAGUUGAGGGGAAUGUUGUCUGGUUGGAGACCUAACACCGCGAAUUAAUCAUCCAUGCCAUGGAAGCAGCAUAUGCCCGCCUGCAUCUAUCCAUGCAUGAUGGUGGAAGGUUUCGGACCAGGCUUCAUUCCCCCCAACUCAACACUCAGCUGCGUCGCUCUUCCGUCUCCGAUCCGAAUACACCGGCCGGCGGACGACGAUGACGACCACGACGGCGGCGGCGCUUCCUCAAGGCUCGCUCUGUUGGCCUGUCCUAGCUAGGAACCGUUCCGUCCCAUGCAUAUGAUCGAACGACAACUCUUUCUCCAGAAAAACUCGAGUGGAUGGAGAACGCAGUUCCGAAGGAGCUAUGAGGAUCUCAACUGUUCACACGAGCCUUUCCAAGUAAGGACGACGUCCCAUCUCGCCACAUGAUCUUUUCCAAGGUACCAUCACUUCAUCGUCCACACAACACAAAGCACUCUGGGUCGCAACAGUUUUCCAACAAAUACAAGAUUAGCUAGAGCGCGCCCAACCCUACCAAACAAGCGUUUGCCCACCGGGCCACCGGGCGCUGAGUCUUCAACGUUGCCUCCUACAUGGCCUCCGAAAAAAAAA